This is a long non-coding RNA of Diachasmimorpha longicaudata, 953 nucleotides long. RefSeq lists it as uncharacterized. The record is from RefSeq and is a predicted model, not a curated record. NCBI's taxonomy places the organism in Eukaryota, Metazoa, Arthropoda, Insecta, Hymenoptera, Braconidae. The transcript is spliced from 3 exons.
GAUAUAGUCACACUAUCGACAUAACUCGUAUUGAUCAUCGUCAUAAAUAAUGAAUUCUAAUCUAUCGUAAAAAACCAUUGAAACAAGAAUGCACAUAGUCAUUGGCCUCGGCACUGGUAUUGGUGAUCAUAGAUCAACGCUCACAGUCUCCACUGUCAACCAUCAAACACAUCACAUUCCCGAUACUCCAUCGAUCCCACGGACACCACUGAUGUCCACAAUAUCAUCUGGAACUUCACUGGAAUCACCUCGAACAAUCGAUUACAGUUCGUCAACACAAUUCUACGAUCACACACUGGGAAUUUGCACAAUUGCAAACUGCCGUUGACUUUUUCGUGUACGAGGCAAACGACGGCACGAAGGAGUGAAACCGUCGGCUGCCAAUGGUUGGCAGUUGCUACUAACUCGCGGCCUCGUGGCUGUUUGGUUUAAGGUACAAGCGGCGCGCGGCAAAAUGUUAAAGUGAGAACGGAAGUUAUCGUGAAGCACAUGAGUAAGAAAGAGAAAGGGAUUAUUGAAAAGGCCUGGCUACGUGGUAACUCUGGGAAUUACUAUGCUGGUAACUAUACAGUGGUGAGACGGGAGGUGAAGACCGACUCGAUUCGCUUCUCCGAGGCACGAAGAGGCGAGACCAAUGCCAGAGACUCGAUCAGAUGGCCUUUGACACGUUUUGGAUGUGUGAGACGAUUUCAAGGCUGAGAAAAAGAAAUUGAAGGGAGAGAGAGAGAUGCAGUUGAAGAGAAAAUUAAACUUGAGAAGCCUCUAACUGUCAACAAGAUGAAACAAGCGUUUCUACGUGAAAGUCAAACCGCUUUGUUUUCGUGAUCAGAAAUUGUCUCACUUCGUGAUCAGGAACUCAUUCCACGCGUAAAACUGUAAUCAGAAACUCUCAAAGACUGAAUUCUUCAAAACUGUGAUUUCAAUUAAUUAACAAUUGGAUUUGAUUGACCUUU